GAGAUCAGGGCAACUUAGUCAUUUUGCACCAUCAAGAGACUCCAGAAUAAUCCAUCUCUUCAUCGACUCUUCUCAUCCGUAUCUGUUUACCAACUCUCACCUAUCUAUCUUUCUUGAUCAUUCAUCUCUCUGCUUCUCCGUCUUCUUCAGCUGAUGAAGAUGUAGUUGCUUUCUCAGUGGCGAUAAAUCGAUUGUCAACUCCUCAAACUAACAGCUACUGAAAUUAAUUUUUUAGAAUUCUAAAGUUAGUUUCGAGCUGUGAAAAAAUUUCAGGUUAAAAUCAUUCUUGUUCAGGAAGGACUAUUGAACUCUCCUGGAACUUGAUUUUUUUAUCUUCAGUAUACACCUGCUAUUGAUAUCUGGAGUAUUGGAUGUAUUUCCGUGGAGGUCCUAACAGAGAAACCAUUAUUUUUGGGAAAAAAUAUUGUUCACCAUUUGGAUUUGAUUACUGAUCUUCUUGGAACGCCAUCAGCUGAUAUCAUAUCUGGGGUUCGUAAUGAGAAGGCAAGUAUGUGAUUUUGGAUUGGCAAGGGUUGCAUUCAGUGAUACGCCAACCACUAUAUUAUGGACGGAUUAUGUUGCUACAACGUGGUACCGUGCACCAGAGCUAUGUGGGUCUUUCUACUCCAAGGGAGGACUAUUGAACUCUCCUGGAACUUGAUUUUUCUAUUCUUCAGUAUACACCUGCUAUUGAUAUCUGGAGUGUUGGAUGUAUUUCCGCGGAGGUCCUGACGAGGAAACCAUUAUUUCCGGGCAAAGUGUUGUUCACCAAUUGGAUUUGAUUACUGAUCUUCUUGGAAAGCCAUCAGCUGAUAUCAUAUCUGGGGUUCGUAAUGAGAAGGCAAGGAAGUAUUUGACAGACAUGAAGAAAAAGAGCCCAGUUGUUUUUACUGAGAAAUUUCAAAAAGCAGAUCCUUUGGCACUUUGACUGUUGCAGAGGUUGUUAGCAUUUGAUCCAAAGGAUCGCCCAACUACUGAAGAGAUACACACACACAUAUAUUCCUGAUAUACAUGAAUGGCAUCUUGCUUGUCCCUUUCUAAUUUCAUUUUCAUUUUCAUUUCUUGUGUUUUUUCCUCCCAUCUUAUAGGCUUUGGCUGAUCCGUACUUCAAAGGACUGGCCAAGAUUGAGAGGGGAAAUAGACACAAUAAGUCUGUAGCAUAUGUUUUUAUGUGUAAUGUAUAUUUGUCAGCACCUCAAUUUGGUGAUGCAAACAGACACUUGAUGACUAUUUUACUGAAAGGAAAAUAUCAUUCGCUUGGCGAAUAAAGUGGGUCACCCUCUUUUUGGCUUCGGCCAAACACUUUUUCUCGCUGCAAGCAAUUACAUGAUGCUUGAGGGAAGAUGGAUCCUUAAUUGGAGUCUUGAGCACAGAGAUUUCAAAAGUGAAAAGAACUUCUAAAAGUGUCCCCCUACCUAAGAUAUUGUUGGAUGCAAUGGGGAACGGCUCAAAGGUGUGAUGGCUUGAGGUCCAAGGAUACUGAAGAGACUGUUGAUAGGCAGGUUAAAUGUGAGAAAUGGAUCCGAGGAGAUGAUGACAAUCAGUCCGAGCAAUCAAAGUCAUCAUGGUGGUUAAACUGACUUAUUACAGGGCGGACAAAGAAGAUGUCUACUGUUUGGCCAUAUCCAUUUUCAGAGGAUAAGUUAAAUAGAGAGAAUGGUCAUUUAAAAUUACGACUAAUAUCAAUAUUCUCGUGAAUUGGACUUGAACAUAACGAAAUGGAUAUAUAUAUAUAUAUAUAUAUAUAUAUAUAUAUGAUGAACACAAAUUAUUGGAGAAUAACGCGAAGUUGAUGACGGCUGAUCAACUACAUUCUUGUAAAUGCGGGUUUUUUGUGGAUAAGGUACCAAUAAGGAUAUACAAGAACGCAAAUCACACAUAAAAGAUUCCUUCUCUGGAUGGUGCCCUAUUUUUUACAAAGUAAUUAUAAAGUAGUAUUAUUCUGUAAAUCUAUCAUAGUCUAUUUUUGCAUAAUGCUGCUUCUUAAUUUGGUUUGAAUUAAGAGGAUUGUUUUUU
Molecule: long non-coding RNA, 2016 nt
Organism: Capsicum annuum
Lineage: Eukaryota; Viridiplantae; Streptophyta; Magnoliopsida; Solanales; Solanaceae
Exons: 12
Source: RefSeq, a predicted model, not a curated record